GUGUUCACUUCAGCAGCACAUUACUAAAAUUGGAAUAAUACAGAGAAGAUUAGCAUGGCCCCUGUGCAAGGAUGACAUGCAAAUUCCAUUUUU
RNAcentral lists this small nuclear RNA (93 nucleotides) under Erinaceus europaeus (western European hedgehog). The record is from RNAcentral. Lineage: Eukaryota; Metazoa; Chordata; Mammalia; Eulipotyphla; Erinaceidae.